UGCUGCUGUUAAAGACUUCUUCUUCCCCUUGCUCCCAAGACCUACUUCUGGACUUAACUGCUGCAUCAGGAGUAAUCACCUACAUACCACUAAAUCUUACCACAAUGGAGGAAGGAUUAUAAUCUUGCAAGGUCCUUCCUUCACUGCUGUUUUCAGAUGAACAUCAUCUUCAGCUGAAGCUUAGGUGAUGGGGGGUAAUGGUACAUCACAGAUCUGUACAUAGACAGAAAGAGAAUAAUGUCUGUAGCCUUAUAACUUCAGUGCUUAAUAUUGUCUUUUCAUCUCCAACUAAUGUAUUGAUAUCCUAAGGUGAUGCUGUUGCAGUUACCUUAAUAAAACAGUUUGAAUCCUAGAAUAUUAUUUUGAUUUUAGUUUGA
Molecule: long non-coding RNA, 377 nt
Organism: Tyto alba (common barn owl)
Lineage: Eukaryota; Metazoa; Chordata; Aves; Strigiformes; Tytonidae
Exons: 3
Source: RefSeq, a predicted model, not a curated record